Molecule: ribosomal RNA, 450 nt
Filed under: uncultured bacterium
Lineage: Bacteria
Description: partial 16S ribosomal RNA
Rfam family: Bacterial small subunit ribosomal RNA
Source: RNAcentral
GUGGGGAAUAUUGGACAAUGGGCGAAAGCCUGAUCCCGCCAUGCCGCGUGUGUGAAGAAGGUCUUCGGAUUGUAAAGCACUUUAAGUUGGGAGGAAGGGCAGUAAGUUAAUACCUUGCUGUUUUGACGUUACCGACAGAAUAAGCACCGGCUAACUUCGUGCCAGCAGCCGCGGUAAUACGAAGGGUACAAGCGUUAAUCGGAAUUACUGGGCGUAAAGCGCGCGUAGGUGGUUUUGUAAGUUGGAGGUGAAAUCCCCGGGCUCAACCUGGGAACUGCCUCCAAAACUGCAUGACUAGAGUACGGUAGAGGGUAGUGGAAUUUCCUGUGUAGCGGUGAAAUGCGUAGAUAUAGGAAGGAACACCAGUGGCGAAGGCGACUACCUGGACUGAUACUGACACUGAGGUGCGAAAGCGUGGGGAGCAAACAGGAUUAGAAACCCGGGUAGUCC